Molecule: ribosomal RNA, 1680 nt
Filed under: Triticum aestivum (bread wheat)
Lineage: Eukaryota; Viridiplantae; Streptophyta; Magnoliopsida; Poales; Poaceae
Description: partial small subunit ribosomal RNA
Source: RNAcentral
AUGGAUGAUGAGGUGCAGGAGACUCCAAAUGUCGGUGCUCUUCCCACGAAGGCCCCCAAGGUCAUGAAUUGGACUCCGCCUAUGUCUGCGUUGAUGUUGAAAGGCAUUUCAGAGGUGCCGGCAAGAGGUGCCAAGACUGACAAAGGGUUCAAUGAGGUAAGUGUCUUCAGAGAAGAAAUUCUCCGACUUGCUGGGAUUGCUUGUCAUGAAGAGGAGGGAAAAUCGCAGACAGAGCUACUGGAGAAGCUCAAAACAUGUAACAAGAUUAUGCUAGUUGAACUGUGCCGCUCAUUUGAUGUCCCUGGUUCAACAAGCACUAAGAAGGAUGAAUUAGUGACAAUAGUGAUGGAGUUCUUGAUGGAACACUGUUCUGGUAUUAUUUACACAGAUCCUGAUAAGGCUCAACUUAGCGGUCAGAAAUUUAAGAAAAGAAAGCGCAAGAAGAAUGAAGCAAAUCUAUCUGGUGGUGAACCUUCCAAGAAAAGGAAACCAGAUGGAACUCUACUGGAAAUUCGUAGUCAAGAGGAAGCAGAUGGGAGAAAAGCUGUAGAAGAUAGAACAAACCAUUCCGAGUUCUUCUCGAGGGAUAACAAGACAGGACAAUUUGCGAAGGAACAAGCUAAACCUGGGCCUUUUGAAGGGGUAAAUGACUCCGCGUUGGGGAAAUUAGCUGUAGUUCCGCUCCCAGGAGUACCGUUUCCUACAGAUGAACAAACGCUAAUCACAACACCAUCUGCAAAGUUAGUUAGCAAUGUUGAGAAUGAUGACACGGAUAUGGUGGCUUCAACGAAGAAAAACAUUUCUCUUACCAAGAAAAAGGCAAUCCAAAACACAGAUUCCAAGGAGAAAUCUGGUGGUAAAAUUAUGUCUAGAGGAGAUGCGAAGCCAUGGAAGCAGGCACCGAAACCAAGCAAGGAUGAGCUGAGACAAGCUGUCUUCUGUAUAUUGGGUGCUGCAAAUUUUGCCACGAUGACUUUUGGAGAGGUUGUAAAAGCAGUUGACAAGUACUUUGGCAAGGAUUUGUUCAAGAGAAAGCCGCUGGUAAGGGCCUUGAUAGAGGAGGAGCUGUUUAGGCUAGCCAAGGCGGCUGAGAGGAAGGAAGUGGAAGAGGAGGAAGCAAUGGAAGCAAAAAUAAAAGCCGAACAAGCUGCCAAGGACAGCAGCGCAAGGGAUGGAAGAGUUGAAUCAGAGAUAGACAAGGAACAUGAAGUUGAAGCUGAUCCAGACGGUAAAUCUAAGGAUGCUGAAAAGAUUGGUAACAGCAAUAGUAGUGAAGAAGGUGGUAAAAGUGGGAUUUGUGUGAAGACUGGUGAGAAGGGAAACAGCGCCGCUGCCGCCGCUGAGAAUUUACAAGAUGGAAAGGCAGAAGUUGACGACACGAGGAAGAAAGGAAACAGUGAUGGUUUUGGCAAGGAUUGCGAGGCUGAAAAGGUUGUGCAGAACGCAAAUGGCGAUGGUGGCAUAGAAAUAUUGGGAGAUGGUAAAGCUGAAACUGCGAAUAAUUGCAGCGGUAACACCAUAGGAGGUUCUGGAGAAAAAGAUGGCGGAUCUGAAGAAGGCAGGGCUGAGAAUGAUGCAGAAAAUGCUGGUGACUGUGAACCUGAAGAAUCUGAAACUAAUGAACCAGAAGCAGAAGCAGAAGCAGAAGAUGUCAAAUCUAAGGAAGCCCGUGGCAAUUAG